This 330-nucleotide ribosomal RNA is filed under the name uncultured Actinomycetes bacterium. RNAcentral's name for it is "bacterial SSU rRNA". It matches the Rfam family "Bacterial small subunit ribosomal RNA", at positions 28 to 351 of the family's 1533-position model. Lineage: Bacteria; Bacillati; Actinomycetota; Actinomycetes. The record is from RNAcentral.
GACGAACGCUGGCGGCGCGCUUAACACAUGCAAGUCGAGCGAUAACCAUGGCUUCGGCUAUGGGGAGAGCGGCGAACGGGUGAGUAACACGUGAGCGAUCUGCCCUCGACACUGGGAUAGCCCGGGGAAACCCGGAUUAAUACCGGAUAGCCUCACGGGUCUACGGGCUCGUGAGAAAAGAUGGCUUCGGCUUUCGGUUGAGGAGGAGCUUGCGGCGGAUUAGCUUGUUGGUGAGGUAACGGCUCACCAAGGCGACGAUCCGUAGCUGGUCUGAGAGGACGAUCAGCCACACUGGGACUGAGACACGGCCCAGACUCCUACGGGAGGCAG